GAUUUUCUGGCUCUCUGUCUAUCAGCUCCUCCCUCUGUUCACAGCAGACACUCUGAGGUCUAGCUCACCCUUUGUGUUAAGUGUUAACUCUUUUGUAAAAGUUCUCAAGCUCCUCUCCAUGCACUCCUAGUCUGUAACAUGAAGUAGCCCUGGAUUCUAGUCAUUUUUGGGGAGUAUGCCGUCUGCCUCAUGACAAUUUUAUUUUUGGCUUCCCAAGUUCCUUAAAAGAACAUUGAUGGCAGAGAUCCUAGCUCAUUUUCCCUCCACCUAAAAGAGCUCUCUCUCAACCCAUAACACUUACAAGAUGUGAGCAGGUAACCUCGGGGAUGACAAAUACUACUGUUUGCCACGAUCUCCAAUCUAAGAGGUUUGUGGAAAUACAUUUUUUUCACAUCUGUGUAUUAUUUCCCUAUUUGCUUUAUUUAAAUACUUGGACACAUUUUCCUCUUUGAAAAAUAUUUGACUAUCUUCUGCUUCCCCACAUUACUUAGGUUUGUUUAUGUCUACUAGAAAUUUGAUAGACAAUAAAAAACAUUUAUUGAGCACCUAGUAUAUCCUGAGAAAAAUGCUGAUUAGGGUUGACCAUACCAGAUGAAGUUUGCACAGGCAACAUUAUCUCAUAAGGUGGAUUCUGUUAUCAACAGAGUGAUCUGGGGGCCUUACGUGAGGCCAGAUUGUCAGGGACGGCUCUAAUUUGGCAAGUCAAAUCCGAGAGGACUGAGAGAGACAUACUUAUUUUUUUGAGCAUUUCUAGGACAUUUCACUCCCUAGAGAUAAACCCACGUGUGACAUCCACUUCCUGGUUCUCCUUGCUCCAAAGCACGUGGCUCUUCUAGACUCUGGAGGCUUUUGCCAUCACAAAUGAAAACGAAGGCAGAUGCUAUCAGUCAGAAGCAAGAAGAGAAAGGUGUGAGGACAACAUGAGAGGGUGCCGCAGGGACUGUCCCUGUCCAGAUAGUUCCAGCCUUGGUGGAAUUUAAUGCAGAAGAGAUGACAUGUCAGAGUGACUGGAGCAUGAGGCGAUCGUAUGCACACGAUGAAGCUUUGCAUAAAGAAACAACAGGCUAAGAGAGUCUCCUGAGAAAAGCUGGGCUUGUGAGAUAACCAGCCCUACUCGGAGAAGCUUUGGAAAAAGAAAAACAAAAACUCAACUUUACAACUGUAUAUCUGGACCAAACACCUGAGGGACUGUCGGUAAAUCCUUUACUAUAUGACACUGCCCAUGCCUGGAAAUGAGGGAUAGCGUAUACUCCAAGGAACAACAUCUCUUGUAGGGUUUCACUUCCUGAAAAGCUACUGAAGAAAAAAACCAUUGAAGUCAUGGGACAAAGGGCUAUUCCUCUGAGUUAAAUAACAAUGUCCCCUGGAGGGAGAAUUCCACUUCUUCUGCCAACCAGCAACCCUGCUGGCAGCUGUGUUUGAGAAAAGCGUGCCUAUCAACUAAUGAUGCCUAACCCCUCUCCUGGCUCCUGAAUGGAGAGUCUGUGUUGGUGGUAUUGAUACCCACCAUUAACAAAAACUUCGCUUACUUUCAAAAAUGUAGAUCCUUUUAUGAAUUCUUCAUCAUAACAAAGGCAAUGGUUUCCCAUUUUUGUCUUAAUUGUAUGUUUGCCCAAAUUUGAUGGAUCAUGUUUUGGUUUUUAUAUAAUUUUCUUUUUCCAGAUUUCCAUUUAGGGUCCUCAGGCUGAAACUAGGCAUAUCCCAUGGCCCAGGCUGGUUGGACACAACUAAAUCUACAUAAAUCUCCAUUGAGUCUCCGAGGAGAUUCGAUGAGAAAAUAUUUUAGGAAACAGCGUUAUGAGUCUCUGUGCUCAGUGAUAUUUAAGUUGGCUGACCAUUUCAAUUUUGGAAAUUAUAGUCCAUUAACAUGAAAAAAAGGCAAUUACAUGUUUGUAUAUUUCUACCUAUGCUUGUGCUUUUUGCAAAUGUUUAUAAAGAGUGGCAUGAUAAAAUAAAAUAAUUUUGUGUUUG
This 1971-nucleotide long non-coding RNA is filed under the name Homo sapiens (human). Its description in RNAcentral is "HSALNT0036388". The record is from RNAcentral. Lineage: Eukaryota; Metazoa; Chordata; Mammalia; Primates; Hominidae.